Molecule: long non-coding RNA, 518 nt
Organism: Varroa destructor (honeybee mite)
Lineage: Eukaryota; Metazoa; Arthropoda; Arachnida; Mesostigmata; Varroidae
Source: RefSeq, a predicted model, not a curated record
CUGAAUUAGCAACAAACAAUGUUUUGUCGAUCCGUCUUACGAAGGUGGAAAAACACGCAGUUAGUGACGGUCUCUAGUUCGAGACUGAAAACUUCCAAAAUCGCAAGCCUCGGCGAAUGACCUCGAUCGUUCCCUACGGAUGCACCGUGUGUUUUCAACUCUUGAGUCGCUGUUUACUGCUGAACACGGUGCUCAGCCGAACAGAGCACUUCAUUCCAGUGCAGUAUUUAUCACAGAAUUCGUGAACAGUACAUGCCCGACACCGCUCGAACGAUAGUCGCCAGCCAUCCAACGUAAAACUCACUUUCGACCUUUACAUUCGAUAAUUGGCUAUCUCCGGUCUCUUCUCGGAUGUGGACUGUGUGAUGCAAACUGCAAGAAUUUGAAGAUAAUCUUCACUUCCUUCAUAGCGCUAUAUGAUCAUCUUCUUACCUGCCUCGGCGGAGGUUGGGGCGCGGACAGCAUCGAUUGAUUGACGGGGUUGGGACUGUCCUCGAGAUUAACAUACCCGUUUGGAG